Molecule: ribosomal RNA, 465 nt
Filed under: uncultured bacterium
Lineage: Bacteria
Description: bacterial SSU rRNA
Rfam family: Bacterial small subunit ribosomal RNA
Source: RNAcentral
CCUACGGGAUGCACCAGUAGGGAAUCUUCGGCAAAGGGCGAAAGUCUGACCGAGCAACGGCGCGUGAGUGAAGAAGGUUUUCGGAUCGUAAAACUCUGUUGGUAGAGAAGAACGUUGGUGAGAGUGGAAAGCUCAUCAAGUGACGGUAACUACCCAGAAAGGGACGGCUAACUACGUGCCAGCAGCCGCGGUAAUACGUAGGUCCCGAGCGUUGUCCGAAUUUAUUGGGCGUAAAGCGAGCGCAGGUGGUUUAUUAAGUCUGGUGUAAAAGGCAGUGACUCAACCAUUGUAUGCAUUGGAAACUGGUAGACUUGAGUGCAGGAGAGGAGAGUGGAAUUCCAUGUGUAGCGGUGAAAUGCGUAGAUAUAUGGAGGAACACCGGUGGCGAAAGCGGCUCUCUGGCCUGUAACUGACACAGAGGCUCGAAAGCGUGGGGAGCAAACAGGAUUAGAUACCCCAGUAGUC